AAGACGGUCUUGCUGUCACUUAUAGAUGGAUCCGCGCUGCAUUAGCUAGUUGGUAAGGUAACGGCUUACCAAGGCAACGAUGCAUAGCCGACCUGAGAGGGUGAUCGGCCACACUGGAACUGAGACACGGUCCAGACUCCUACGGGAGGCAGCAGUAGGGAAUCUUCCGCAAUGGGCGAAAGCCUGACGGAGCAACGCCGCGUGAGUGAUGAAGGUCUUCGGAUCGUAAAACUCUGUUAUUAGGGAAGAACAUAUGUGUAAGUAACUGUGCACAUCUUGACGGUACCUAAUCAGAAAGCCACGGCUAACUACGUGCCAGCAGCCGCGGUAAUACGUAGGUGGCAAGCGUUAUCCGGAAUUAUUGGGCGUAAAGCGCGCGUAGGCGGUUUUUUAAGUCUGAUGUGAAAGCCCACGGCUCAACCGUGGAGGGUCAUUGGAAACUGGAAAACUUGAGUGCAGAAGAGGAAAGU
This 470-nucleotide ribosomal RNA is filed under the name Staphylococcus aureus. Its description in RNAcentral is "bacterial SSU rRNA". It matches the Rfam family "Bacterial small subunit ribosomal RNA", at positions 202 to 662 of the family's 1533-position model. Lineage: Bacteria; Bacillati; Bacillota; Bacilli; Caryophanales; Staphylococcaceae. The record is from RNAcentral.